Oncorhynchus tshawytscha (Chinook salmon) is the source of this 2408-nucleotide long non-coding RNA. The record is from Ensembl. NCBI's taxonomy places the organism in Eukaryota, Metazoa, Chordata, Actinopteri, Salmoniformes, Salmonidae.
GUAGCCUAGUGGUUAGAGUGUUGGACCAGUAACCGAAAGAUUGCUGGAUCAAAUCCCCUGAACUGACAAGGUAAAAAUCUACCCCUGAACAAGGCAGUUAACCCACUGUUUCCAAGCCGUCAUUGUAAAUGAGAAUUUGUUCUUCACGGACUUGCCUAGUUAAAUAUGAAAUAUUCAUGAGAUCUCUAAACAGCAACAAGACAGUGUCAUCAACCAAUGAAUGGAAACUUUCAGGUCUAAUGUUUUUAGUUUUUAGCUAGUGAAAAAUAUGACUUAACUUCACCGACAUUUAGUUGCAAAUAUUUAUUGUGCAUUGGGGAAUAUGCUAAUUAGCUAACAUUAAUGUUAUCAUUCCUCAACAACUCUUCCUCUCUGACAACAGUCAGCUACCAAAGCGACAAUAGCUACUUCAUCUGGAAAAAAUAAUAUUGACAAGUCAAAAAAAUGACAACCUAUAUUUAGCUAUUAAAACGACUGACUUAACUUGCCAAGAAGUUGCAGUUGGUUCUCACUUCUCUUCUCAAUGAAUGUGAAAUACCUUCUUAUAGGAAGUCAGGUGGUUGAUGAUAACAACCCAUAUCAAAUAUUCAAAGAGGUAUUCAAAUAAGGGUAUCCACCAAUCCAAAACAAGGACUAGGCAGAAAGUUCACAUUGUUAGGAUAGAGACUAGAUCAUAUUGUCAUUAUAUAGAGUAACUCUGACUAAAUAUGGCUGGGUUUAUAUCUGGUGGGUACUGGGUAGUAAAUGGCUGUGUGAGGCUUUAUCCUAAACCAUUCCAGAGUUUGUGGACAAUGAUCCACAUUGUUAGGAUAGAGACUAGACCAUCUUGUCAUUAUAUAGAGUAUCUCUGACUAAAUAUGGCUGAGUUUAUAUCUGGUGGGUACUGGGUAGUAAAUGGCUGUGUGAGCCUUUAUCCUAAACCAAGAGUGACACCUGGUGGUUACUAUAUGCAUUACAUGCAGGUUUCUCGUAAAGCAAAACCAAUGAAAGCAAAUACUGCAAUCCAGCCACAUAUAUGUUUAGUUGUCAAAAAACAGAUGAAAGACACUGUAGACACAUCUAUAUUUUUUAAAUACAACUUUUUUGUUGUUGUUGUUACAAUUACACAAACAUUUGUGGCAUUCUUCAAUUAUAUAAAAAAUAAAAAUCAACAGCACACAACCAAUGGCUCAAAUUAAAAGUUUUAAAACAUUUGUACCCAAAGUAGUAUAUCCCCAAUACUGUCCUUUACAUCCAUUUGACUAUGCUGGUUUUUACACGAUCAAUUGAUCAUCUCUGAGUUAUUGAUCAAUGCGCUCAAAUCAAUGGAAGUGGAAAUAAACUAUUGUGUAGCAGUGAAGUGGAUGUGUCAACCAGCAUUCGGUUCAACUCAACAACGUCAUGUCAUCGGCCUGGGAGACAUCUAUCAGUUUGUGCCGUCAUUGACAAUGACAGCAAUGGAGUUGGCAAGACAACACAAACAGAUCUGGGACCCGCCUGGUGGUCUUUUCAACCAGUUUGGCUCACCGGGAGGGCUGACGAGUCAUUACACAGGCCAGACAGAAUUCAUUACUGCAAUGAUACGGAUAAUGACAAGUAUAGUGACUUGGAGAGUACAGGAACUAGAAAAGUACAGGAAAGUAUAGGAACUAGGAAAGUACAGGAAAGUACAGGGACUAGGAGAGUACAGGGACUAGGAGAGUACAGGGACUAGGAGAGUACAGGGACUAGGAGAGUACAGGGACUAGGAGAGUAUAGGGACUAGGAGAGUAUAGGGACUAGGAGAGUACAGGGACUAGGAGAGUAUAGGGACUAGGAAAAUAAAAACCAACCAACUAACUACUUUAGACCAGAGUCCUAUGGCACCCUAUUCCCUAUAUAGUACACUACUUUAGACCAGAGCCCUAUGGCACCCUAUUCCCUAUAUAGUGCACUACUUUAGACCAGAGCCCUAUGGAACCCUAUUUCCUAUAUAGUGCACUACUUUAGACCAGAGCCCUAUGGUACCCUAUUCCCUAUAUAGUGCACUACUUUAGACCAGAGACCUAUGGUACCCUGUUCCCUAUAUAGUGCACUACUUUAGACCAGAGCCCUGUUCCCUAUAUAGUGCACUACUUUAGACCAGAGCCCUAUGGCACCCAAUUCCCUAUAUAGUGCACUACUUUAGACCAGAGCCCUAUGACACCCUAUUCCCUAUAUAGUGCACUACUUUAGACCAGGACGCAUAGGGAUCAGGUCUAAAGUAGUGUGCCCUAUAUACAGUAGAGACCUGGAAGCCAGUUCCACUGCUUUUCUCCCAUAAUUCCACCUCUAACCUGGGACACCAGGUGGGGGCAAUUAUUAUCAGGUAGAACAGAAAACCUGCAGGAAUCAGGACCUCGUAGGGUCAGAGUUGAAUACCUCUGAAAACACACACACACACACACACA